RNAcentral lists this transfer RNA (60 nucleotides) under Clonorchis sinensis. Its description in RNAcentral is "tRNA-Ser". Lineage: Eukaryota; Metazoa; Platyhelminthes; Trematoda; Opisthorchiida; Opisthorchiidae. The record is from RNAcentral.
GGGGCUAGGAUGUUAUCGCUGCUAACGAUGAUUUGAACUCCUUGCGGUGUUCGGCCUUCU